AAGUAUAUUGAAUUUAUAUUCAUAUCAACCCACUCUGUGUACCUUCUUACCGUUGCUUCCAUGGGACUUGGCUAUGCCACGUCGGCCCUCGGGCUGGUGAGUUCCCAUGGGAGGAAAACAAACUCUUUUUAUUCGUGACGUCUGUCUGAACUGUUUAUUUAAACGUUA
RNAcentral lists this unclassified non-coding RNA (168 nucleotides) under uncultured Ascomycota. RNAcentral describes it as "sequence contains ITS1". The record is from RNAcentral. Lineage: Eukaryota; Fungi; Ascomycota.